Molecule: ribosomal RNA, 357 nt
Filed under: Agrococcus lahaulensis
Lineage: Bacteria; Bacillati; Actinomycetota; Actinomycetes; Micrococcales; Microbacteriaceae
Description: bacterial SSU rRNA
Rfam family: Bacterial small subunit ribosomal RNA
Source: RNAcentral
UCCUACGGGGGGGCUGCAGUGGGGAAUAUUGCACAAUGGGCGCAAGCCUGAUGCAGCAACGCCGCGUGAGGGACGACGGCCUUCGGGUUGUAAACCUCUUUUAGCAGGGAAGAAGCGAAAGUGACGGUACCUGCAGAAAAAGCACCGGCUAAUUACGUGCCAGCAGCCGCGGUAAUACGUAGGGUGCAAGCGUUGUCCGGAAUUAUUGGGCGUAAAGAGCUCGUAGGCGGUUGUCAAGUCUGCUGUGGAAACCCGAGGCUCAACCUCGGGCUUGCAGUGGGUACGGGCAGACUUGAUUGAAGUAGGGGAGAUUGGAAUUCCUGGUGUAGCGGUUGUCGGUUUUUAAAAGUUUUUCCA